GCGCCAGGCGCAAGCCCCCUCCUCUCCUGGGGCAGCCAGCUCUGGAGUCUGCUGCCGGCUCGCUGCGUGAGAGAACGGCCGGCACGGGCGAGCGUCGGGGUGUGCGUGCGUGCGCGCGCGCGCGCGCGGCGGUGCGGGCGCUGCGUGGGGCGGGCUCGCCCGCGCACGCUCACUCAGCCGCCGAGCGGUCCUCAGCGUCUCGGGCCCGCGACCGCUGCCGCGAGGAGCGUGGGGCACCGGGACUUGGGGUCUCGCGGUUCCCCGGAAUGCAAGAGACACGCCUAUCUCUGGGCCGCGCGGUCGCGGCUCUCCAAGCUGGGCCGCCCCAGCCCCAGCCUGCCCGCCCGCUCCUCGGGAACCAGCCCCUCAGGCGCGGGACCCCGCGCUGGGUCUACUCUUCGCUUUCGCGUGGCGGCCGCCAGGUGGCGCCGAAGGCAGCCGCUCCAGCCUCGGAAACAGGGAUGGUCCAUCAAGGCCUUGAGGGUGAUGGGGGCUUGCCCCCCUGUCUCUCCAAAACGGGCUGUGCCACGCAGGCACCUCAUCAGACUUCUCUGGUCGUGAGGUCCUAGGCCCAGACCACAGACAUAAGGGAGGUCAGGAACAGCUUAUACCCUGAGGUGGUCAUAAACCAGUGAUAGCUUAGAAGGUGAAAGGGCUGUUCUAGAAGCUGGCCCAGCAGAGAUCUCCUCUGCUGGCUUCUGCUCGCUUUGCAGUGGCAUCAGUGGGGCAAUAACUGUUGGGGGAUCCAUGGCAGGUAAGGGCAAGAAGGUUGUGGGGUUUCUUUCUCUCUCUCUCUUUUAUUAUUAUUAUUUUUUGCUUUUUAGGGCUGCACUGGCGGCAUAUGGAAGUUCCCAGGUUAGGGGUCUAAUCAGAGCUGCAGCUGCCAGCCUACACCACAGCCACAGCAACACCAGAUCCGAGCAGCAUCUGUGAUCUACACCGCAUCUCACGGCAACGUGGGAUCCUUAACCCACUGAACAAGGCAAGGGAUCGAACCCAUAACCUCAUGGUUCCUAUGGGAUUCAUUUCUGCUGCCCCACAGAUGGGAACUCCGGUUGUGGAAUUUCUGAAGGCAGUCAGAACUUUAUUAUUUUGGGGGGAGGCUGGGGGUGAAAUAUGGAAAGUCAGCCGGUGGGAGAGAAAAGGAGAAAUUGUACCUGAAGGUGCUUGAGACCCUGGGGCAGGAAGAGGAUGAUGUCGUUUAUGUCAAUACCGUUCUUCUCCUUCUGCAGCUGUGGGGAGGGUAGGGGCCGGGCGGCACUAGGGAGAUGGGAGGAAGGGUCAGCAGGCCAGGUAGGGGGGUAGGUUGGGAUCUGAGGAGGGUGUCCUGAUCUUGGAGCCCCUGCUGUGCUUUUCCAGGUUCUGGGUCAGGGAGGGAGGUCAAAAGGACUUGCAAAUCUGCAUGGAGUCCUAGGGUGCAGGUGUGGGAGACCCUGCAGAAGGAGGCCAGGACUCUGUAGCUGCCCGCAGCUCUGGGAGAUGUGCUGAGGAGCCACGUGCAUCCUCAACCUGCAGUUUGUCCCAGGAUUGGGAGGAUGGAGGAGACCAUACAGACUGUGUUCUCAUCUCAGAACCUUUUAAAAUUAGCAGCGGACCACUCCAGAGAGCCAGGAUAAAGGGUGCAGGUGUCAGGAGAUCCACAGCGUCCUGGAGCAAGCCCUGGACGGGGUUCUCACUCAGAGUUCUGCCAACUGGUGGGGAGACCUCUGGAGGGACAACACUGCUCGUCUUGGCUUCAGUUUCCCCACGUCCAAAAUGGUGGAUUGCACUUGAAGGUUACCAGCCAGCCACCGAGAGCCAUCCCAAAGCAGUUUCCUUGAAUGACCUUGGCUGCGACCCAGGGACACCAAGCAUCAAACCCAGGAGUUGGUUGCAGAGCCUGGAAGGACCUGUCUGGGCUGGCUGCAGGAUUAACUUUGUGGCCGACGGUCCAGCAGCUAGAGCCCCAAGGUGAGUGUCCACACCAUCGGGGACAUCGGAGCAGGGCUAGGGAGUAUCCCCGACCCAGUGGUACCUCCAUCCACAUGAGUGUUUACUGGGGCUUGUUUGCCCGCCACUGUGCCUGACCACUUGGCAUAGCACCAUCCUGACGAAUUCUCACUCACAACAUUGCAGAGUGGUACAUCCUCUAAUCCUGCAAGUGAAGAGUCAGGAGAUGGAAAUGGACACAGAGAGGUUAAGCUGUGAAUUACUUCCAUCAGCUGCUCAGUGGAGGGCCUGGAUUUCGGCUGGGAACCCUGACCCGUGGGGGUGGCGUGCUUUGGAGUCACUCACUGCUGUGACUUCCAGAAGCCUUCCUCGAGUCAAGGACAUGAAGACAGGUGGGGUGGGCGCCCGUGCUUGCUGGGACCCCCCUCCUCCCUGUCUGCCUGCCGGCCCUUCCUGGCCUGCUCGCUCUCUCCCUCUCAGGAUCCUGCCCGGCAGACCCUCCAGCCAUCUCAGACCCUGAAGACCGGUGGGUCUGGGCGAGGGGUGUGAGGCUAUUGCCCAGCAUUUCAAGGGUGGAGGGCAGGGGCAGGGGCAGGGGCAGGACACACUCCGGGGAGGAGAAUGGUCUCUGCGGUUUCCAGGGGCCCUCCCCUCUCACCACGUGGGACCUCACACCUCCAUCCCACUUCCACGCUGAGACCUCCCCCCACAGCACGAGCCCACCCUGCUCAGCCAGGUCAGAGGGCACUGGCUGUCCAGCCUUGACCCAGAGCCCAGGGUAGCCCCAGGCUCCAUCUCUCUGGCCCUUCCCUGGCCACCCGCCCCCCCAUUUCAGGGGCCACUUCCAGAGCCCCUUCCUUCCGCCCUCACUUCCUGGGCCUCUGUGAUUUUCAGGGAUUGAGAUUCAAGGAGAAAGGGCACCCCUCCCUGGCUGCGUCUCUGGAGGCUGGUGGGCUCUUGGGACAGGGAAGGGACAGCAGGACAGAGGACGUGAGGUCCCCAGGGACGCUGUGGUGUGAGGAAGGUGGGAGGAGUUUAAGCUGGGAGGUGGCAAUGCUUCAGCCCUUCUCGCCGCCUCACUUCCUUUCCUCCUUCAUGUGGUCAUUUUCAUCACCCCAUCCAUCCUCCUUUGCCUGCAGGACAAGCCCCAGAUUCUCCCAGGCACACAUGCACUUCUUUUACUUUAUUUAUUUAUUUUUACCAAAUAAAGUAUGGCUUUUGUUAAUAAUAAUGGACCAGUAUGGGUUAGUUAGUUAUAGCAGAUCCCAUGCGCUUGUUUGAAUUGUCAGAGGGGAUCUCCCUUUCUGUCACUGGCAAGCUGUGCUGGGUGGGGAGCGGGGAUGUGUCUGGAAAAGAAGCUAUGAGGGAACUGGGGUGCUCUCUUAGAGGUUGGGGUCUAAUUCUUCUUUUGGUGGUGUGUUGUCUUUUUCUUCUUUUUUUUUUUGGUCUAAUGUGUGGUUACGUUUGUGAAUGUGUUCCAUGGGCAUCUGCAAGAGAGUUCUCUUCUCUGUUUUCAGGAUACAGAAUUCAUUACCUAGAUCGGUUGGAUUUGCCUUAUUCAGUUGUUUAGGCUUUUUGCAUUCUAUUAAGCUCUUUCUACAUCCAUUUCUUUUUUGGUCCUUUUGAUUUAUCCUGGGCUGAGAGAAAUGAAUUAGUGUUCUCAUAUUCAUGUGCUUCUAUUUUUUUUUUUUUUUGUCUUUUUGCUGUUGUUGUUGUUGCUAUUUCUUGGGCCGCUCCCGCGGCAUAUGGAGGUUCCCAGGCUAGGGGUUGAAUCGGAGCUGUAGCCACCGGCCUACGCCAGAGCCACAGCAACGCGGGAUCCGAGCCGCGUCUGCAACCUACACCACAGCUCACGGCAACGCCUGAUCGUUAACCCACUGAGCAAGGGCAGGGACCGAACCCGCAACCUCAUGGUUCCUAGUCGGAUUCGUUAACCACUGCGCCAUGAUGGGAACUCCGCCUGCUUCUAUUUCUUAUAUAUUUUUUAUAGGUUUAGCUCUAAAAAUGUUGAUAACUUUGCAAAUGGGCACAUAGAUGUCCAUAACUGUCAUAUCUUCAUUGUGAGCUACACACUCUGCCGUUAGAAAGUGUCUUUCGUUGUGGCUUUGCGGGUUAAGAACCUGACAUAGUGUCUGUGAGGAUUCGGGAUGGAUCCCUGGCCUCGCUCAGUGGGUUAAGGAUAUCAAAAGUGGUCCAACGUUACUGUCCUUAAGGAAAUGCAAAUUAAAACCACAGCGAAAUACUAUCACACACUGAUAAAGGACAGCUAAAAUUAAAAAGUACUUCCAAGAAAUUUUCCAGGUUAAGGAUCCAGACUUGCUGCAGCUGUGGUGCAGGUUGCAGCUGUGGUGUGCGUUCAGUCCCUGCCCUAGGAACUUCCACAGGCCACAAAUGUGGCAAAAAAAAAAAAAUGUAUAUGUAUAUAUGUAUAUAUAUAUACACUGACAGAAGUUCUCUGGUGGUUUAGUACAUUAAGGAUCCAGCGUUGUCACUGCUGUGGCUCGGGUCAUUGCUGUGGUAUGCAUUCUGUUCCUGGCCCAGGAAAUUUCACAUGCUGUGAGUGUAGACAAAAAGAAAGAAAAAAUUUUUUUGAGCUGUUGAGUAUAAACAUUUUGAAUAAAGAACUUUUUUUUGGUGUAUUUUAAAAUGGAUACAUAGGAAAUUGACCUGCCUUUUUCAUCAAAAAUGAGAAGUCUAGUAGGAAUUACACAGUACAGCCAGAGAAUGCACACAACCCAACAUUAAAAUGUUUGGAUUUGAUGCUUAUUUAUGUUAUGGUUUAUUCUCUGAUCUGAGUUUGAAUGGGGAACCUUCAUAUGUUUUUUUCCUUUUGUCAUGCCCAUGGCAUGCAGAAGUUUUCCGGCCAGGGAUUGAACCUGCGCCACAGCAGUGACAGUGCUGGAUCCUUAACCUGCUAAGCCACCAGGGAACUGCUUUCCUAUAUGUUUUAACUGUGUUUAUUUGGGGUUUUAUUUAAUCUGAGGUAAGUGAUAAUUGGAAGCAUCUUAAAAUGUAAAAUUAGGAGCUGGUAUCCAUGAGGACUCAAGCUCGAUCCCUGGCCUUGCUUAUUAGGUUAAGGAUCCAGUGUUGCCGUGAGCUAGGUGUAGGUCCCAGAUGUGGCUCAGAUCUGGCAUUGCUGUGGCUGUGGCCGGUAGCUACAGCUCUGAUUCAACCCCCUGGCCUGGGAAUUUCCAUAUGCUGAGGGUGUGGACCUAAAGAGACCGAAAAAAAAAAAAAAGAAAAAAAAAA
This 5178-nucleotide long non-coding RNA is filed under the name Sus scrofa (pig). Its description in RNAcentral is "lncRNA (ENSSSCG00035039621.1)". Lineage: Eukaryota; Metazoa; Chordata; Mammalia; Artiodactyla; Suidae. The record is from RNAcentral.